GGGGCCGUAGCUCAGUUGGUAGAGCACCUGCUUUGCAAGCAGGAUGUCGUGGGUUCGAAUCCCUUCGGCUCCACCA
Molecule: transfer RNA, 76 nt
Filed under: Candidatus Hydrogenedentes bacterium ADurb.Bin179
Lineage: Bacteria; Pseudomonadati; Candidatus Hydrogenedentota
Description: tRNA-Ala
Rfam family: tRNA
About the family: Transfer RNA (tRNA) molecules are approximately 80 nucleotides in length. Their secondary structure includes four short double-helical elements and three loops (D, anti-codon, and T loops). Further hydrogen bonds mediate the characteristic L-shaped molecular structure. tRNAs have two regions of fundamental functional importance: the anti-codon, which is responsible for specific mRNA codon recognition, and the 3' end, to which the tRNAs corresponding amino acid is attached (by aminoacyl-tRNA synthetases). tRNAs cope with the degeneracy of the genetic code in two manners: having more than one tRNA (with a specific anti-codon) for a particular amino acid; and 'wobble' base-pairing, i.e. permitting non-standard base-pairing at the 3rd anti-codon position.
Source: RNAcentral